Mangifera indica (mango) is the source of this 504-nucleotide long non-coding RNA. RefSeq lists it as uncharacterized. The transcript is spliced from 2 exons. Lineage: Eukaryota; Viridiplantae; Streptophyta; Magnoliopsida; Sapindales; Anacardiaceae. The record is from RefSeq and is a predicted model, not a curated record.
AUCACUCUCAUCGUUUUCCUCACCUGGUAUUGUUUCCUCUUCCACCAUGGCUGGCUGUUCAGGACCACCACUAAUGUUGACUUUCAUCCAGCACCUUCAUCGUCCAUUUGAAAAAAUUGUUGAAACCACCUGUGUUCAGUAUUCACGGACUCUCUGCAUUGUUUAAUGGUCAUUAUUAAGGGUCUUGAUCUUAUGUGUAUUCUGAUUAAAGGUUUAAUCUCUCAAAGGGAAAACUCUAUAGCUUGUAUUGGGCAAAUGUUAUAUUGUAAAAUGCUGUGCUAGAAGCUGUUCGAUGAAAUGUCCCUACGAAAUUAUAUGUCGUUAGCUAUACAAUUUUCUUUUCUUUUUUUUUUUUUUUUUGAGCGAAACCAAGACUAGCAAGCAAUUUGAUUUGAUAAUCUUUUUGUGAUUAAAAUUAUCCUAUUUCUUGCUGAACUUUGGUCAAUAUAGUGUAUCACUUUGCAGGGAAAAAUAUCAAUAAUAAUAAUUUGAUUGGUUGGCUUU